GGUUGCCAGUCCAGAAGCUAAACCCGAAGUGUGAUGAUGCCUGCGGGGGAGAAGUCGCCAUUUAUCUCGCGGACUAAGGAAACAAGCAGCGACACAUCGUAGGAAUCGCGUUGUUCAAGAAAGAAGGUAAUAUCGAUGAGGCAGAGUUCAGAAAGGCUAGAUUUGGUCUCUACGUUUAUCAGUAUCACCAGUAUUUCUGCGACUCAAUCAUUAACCCAGAUUUGGGAGCAGAAAUGAGGCCUCUUUAGUAGAGCGCACGACAGUGUCUUUUUCCUGCAAGGGUAAAUCCAUUGUUGCCUUACAACACAGCGUCUACAGUUAGCAUACAAAUGACUUGCAGACAUUUUUUCAUUAUCGCCAGGUAUCCUGGCAAUGCAAAAUAGUUCCUCCUUAACCUUCACGGAGCCCAAGAGGCAGGUGGCGAUGUCAACUGCAAGUCACUAUUUUUCUGCUAUGUCAAUUGCUAUUAAUUUGGAAGAGAACAGAAAUGCUUGCGAUUAAGAGAUUUAGGUACAAUACAUUCACUCUACGAGUGCUUUUAAACAAGCUCUUGAAAGAUGACUGCUUUUUAGUGUGCGUGAAUGUAUUUAUAAAGAAAAAGGAUCUUUUACGACUGCCUCAAAAAUCUUUCACAACAUUGUUUAAUAACUAAAUUAAAUUUCCAAUAUAUUGAAAGAAAGAAUUGAUCCCCCAAUUCAACGCUGCAUUCUACUUCUUGAACUAAAUUUAAAAUAAAAUAGACGCUUUUCUAGUGGCACUUGUAAAUAAUCAAGGCCUCUCAAGUCGGAUCGGUUUAGGAGACAGAUUAGAAUUUUGGGCGUCAUUUCACUGAGCACAUAGUAGGCCCGGAAUAUUGUUGAAGGGAAGAGUUUGCAGAACUAAUUACACGUUACAUUUUUCAGAGCCUGUCAGAAUGUUAGAAGUUAACCUGGUUCGGGAAAGUGGGAACAAAGGCAGCUUAGGAAUUACUCUGAAAACUAACUCGACCCAACCUGCUUUAGCACAGGUAUUCUCAAGCCCUCAGCGACGUUGGAAAAGUUCUUCCACACCAGGGACUGUGAUCCCCACUUUUGCGGGUGCUUCUCCCCAGAGCCUCCUGCGAAGCCCAGUGAAGGAGGUAGAGAUAGUCCUACCUACCAGAAUAAAAUAGUCCUGCUUAUUUUAUUCUGGUAGGUUCUUUAGGGGACGACUUGGGAUCACACAGACCGUUGGUGCAGCUCCCUUGGCACCACGUAGUAACAUCAGUGAGCUUUAUCUUUUGCAUGGUUUCUUAUACACUUAAAAGCACAUUGUUUCCUAUGUUGGAGCGUUUGAAUUCUUGACAACAGAAAUGUGUUUCUAUCCCUGGUCGGUGGGGGGGGUACUUUUUUUUUUCCCCAGUGACAAAACUGAGUUUCGGACAGGAGCCUUGGAUCACUCAGUGGUUUCCGGGACAGCGGACUGGUGAGCACCUUGAUUCUAGAGAACAGGGUCCUCAGAAUGUUCUGGAAGAGGCUGUCAGCCCCCCUGCCCCACCCACCGUGUGCCCAUCCCUCUGAUGUGACAAAAGCAAAGCCCCGGAGCUUCCAGGAGGACCUGGACCUUCGGGUUCCAGGUAGGUGGACUCAGAACCGGUUCUUCCCUUGCACUUCCCCCCUCCCCUAGCAAAAAUUGUGGACAACAACCCUAGUACCCUCUCCAGACAUCCUCCCCCAUCUCCCCAUGUCGGUCUGUCCUACCCUCCCUACACAGCCCUCUGCUGCUCUUGGGGACAUGCUGUAAUCACAGAUACAAUUCAAUUAUCCCUCGGCUAGGAAGGCUCCAGAGAAUCGGAAUCCCACCAACUGCUGGGAAGUGGGUGGUGUGAGGAGAGGGGACCUUUGUCCUGGGAUGCACUUCAGGAAGUCUGAGAAUCUCUCGGAUAUUGAAAAAUUCUAUGCUUUGGGGUGCAGGGGCGGGGUGAUCAUAUCUUUGAUCAGAUUGUGAAAGGAAUCUAUGUCUGCUCAAAAUGUUCAGUAAACUAAAUAUUCAGAGGGCAUAGAAGUCACCGAGCCUGAGUUCCAACAGGUUGUUCCAGUGGCUACUGUAAACCUUGGUCAAUUGUUUUUCUGGACUCACUUGCCUCAUCUGCAAAAGUGCAAAGGGAGCUUUCUGACCGUCUUUACCUAGGGGCUUGGUAAAGACCUUCGUUUUCGCCCGAGGCUGCCUUGCUGCCUCGUGACUUGGAAGCUUGAAUGAAAGGCAAGGGCGCUAGGAGUCCUCCCGGUAUCCUAUCCCAGGUCCUUCUCUUCAAGGGGGUCGGGCGGUGACUGAGGACCUGGUGAGGUGAAGAAACAGAAGUCCUUUUGGCUUGUAAAUAGACACCAAAAUACAAAGCACAAAACCGAGUUGUCCUUGUAAAUUAUAAAGCGCGGGGUAGAGGGGAGGGGGCGCUGUUGACUCAGCCGGAGUUGCUCCGCGGGGACCGCGGGCGGGGUUUGCUGAUCUUAGCGCCGGUGGGAGCGCGGCCCACUACCCCCUCUGCCUUCUCCUCUUUUUACCCCAAAUACCUCACACUCUGCUCCCCUUUCGGUUCCUGCGCUGCUAAGACUCACCUGGUGAGAAGACCCUUUUGAGAAAAUCUGAACAAAAAGCCGGAGAGAAGUGUAUUGGGGGGUGGGGAGUUGUUUUGUUUUUGAUGAGUGUGGCUUUCUUUUUUUUCUCCCAACACCCCCUCCAAAAAUAAAAUAAAAUAAAUAAAAGGGAAAAACACGUUUCAAAUUUCCUCCCGCUCACGCAUCCAAUUCCUCGCUCCAAUGCCACUUGCUUCUGCCCGAGCUUCGGCGGCGGUUGCCUCUCCACUGCGCGGUCACGGAGGCUGGAGUCCCGCUCCAGGGUCCCAGGCUUCUCCCAUUGGCCUUACUACCUUCGACCCCGCUCAAUGAACAGGUCUCCGGGAGUUAAGACUUCCCAGCCCCCUUUUCUCACCCAGGGUACUGCUUGGACAAUCCGUCUUGAAGACUGAGCUAGGGACCUCUGAGCCCCACAGAUGGGCGUUGGAAAACCCAAGGGGAGAUGUGAGGAAGAGCCUUAGCCUUCCCCUGUGCCUCACUUUCCUCAACUGCAAAGUGGAGUUAACCUUAAAGAAGAUGAUACCUGCAGACUGCCUGGACAGUCACUACCUGGCCAUCCUGACCUUUCAGUACUUUUGAGUUAUUUCUAUUAUUUUUGUUUUGUUCUGUUUUUAGAGACAAGGUCCUGCUCUGAUGCCCUGGCUAGAGUGCAGUGGCAUCAUCAUAGCUCCCUGCAACCUGAAACUCCUGGGCUCAAGCAAUUCUCCUGCCUCAGCCUCCCCCAAAAGCUGGGACUACAGCUUCUGCAGCCUCCAGAGAAUGAGGGUGAGGUGUAGGAACCAUCUCCCUCCCAUCAGCCUAACACUUUGCUAAUCAACCUACUGCCAGCACACAGGGUGGUGACUGAUGUUCGGGAACUUCUGGGCAUCUCAAUAGAAAUGGUUUGCUGUGGGCUGUGGCUCUGAUGACCUCGAAUCCAUCUUCCUCUGGUAGAAAGCUACUCGCAAAACAUUGUACCAUUUCAUGACUUAGACCGGCUGCAGACGCGGCAAAAUAAAUAAUCCCAGAUG
This is a long non-coding RNA of Nycticebus coucang (slow loris), 3601 nucleotides long. RefSeq lists it as uncharacterized. NCBI's taxonomy places the organism in Eukaryota, Metazoa, Chordata, Mammalia, Primates, Lorisidae. The transcript is spliced from 3 exons. The record is from RefSeq and is a predicted model, not a curated record.